UACGUAGGUGGCAAGCGUUGUCCGGAAUUAUUGGGCGUAAAGCGCGCGCAGGUGGUUCCUUAAGUCUGAUGUGAAAGCCCACGGCUCAACCGUGGAGGGUCAUUGGAAACUGGGGAACUUGAGUGCAGAAGAGGAAAGUGGAAUUCCAAGUGUAGCGGUGAAAUGCGUAGAGAUUUGGAGGGACACCAGUGGCGAAGGCGACUUUCUGGUCUGUAACUGACACUGAGGCGCGAAAGCGUGGGGAGCAAACAGG
RNAcentral lists this ribosomal RNA (253 nucleotides) under uncultured bacterium. RNAcentral's name for it is "partial 16S ribosomal RNA". It matches the Rfam family "Bacterial small subunit ribosomal RNA", at positions 524 to 776 of the family's 1533-position model. The record is from RNAcentral.